RNAcentral lists this ribosomal RNA (496 nucleotides) under uncultured bacterium. RNAcentral describes it as "partial 16S ribosomal RNA". It matches the Rfam family "Bacterial small subunit ribosomal RNA", at positions 28 to 506 of the family's 1533-position model. The record is from RNAcentral.
GAUGAACGCUGGCGGCGUGCCUAAUACAUGCAAGUCGAGCGAACAGACGAGGAGCUUGCUCCUCUGACGUUAGCGGCGGACGGGUGAGUAACACGUGUAUAACCUCCUUAUCUGACUGGUAUCACUUCGGGAAUCCGGCUCUUAUACCGUAUAAUCUCUUGCACCGCAUGGUUCAUUAGUGAAUGUCGGUUUUUCUGUCUCUUAUCGCUGGUUCCGCGCUGCUUUAUCUAGUUGGUAAGGUAACGGCUUACCAAGGCAACCCUGCGUAGCCGACCUGAGAGGGGGAACGGCCACAGUGGAACUGAGAGACGGUACAGGGACCUAGGGGAGGCAGAAGUAGGGAAGGUACGGAAAUGGGGGAAAGCUUGAAGGAGCAACGCCGGGUGAGUGAUGAAGGGCUGCGGAUCGGAAAACUCUGUUAUGAGGGAAGAACAAAUGUGUAAGUAACGAAGCACGUCUGAACGGUACGGAAUCAGAAAGCCACGGCUAACUACGU